This is a non-coding RNA of Danio rerio (zebrafish), 332 nucleotides long. NCBI's taxonomy places the organism in Eukaryota, Metazoa, Chordata, Actinopteri, Cypriniformes, Danionidae. The record is from RefSeq and is a predicted model, not a curated record.
ACUGUUUCACUCAAAUGAGUCAAAGAGAAUAAAAUAAUCUCUUAGCAAAUCUUCUUGCCUCAAUCUUGUGUUUCUCUUUCUCACUUUUACAGGAGUUGAAUGAAGAGUCAUUGGUGACUGGGAUCAAAUGCAGUGCGAAAACUUCCAAGUCAGGGAAAAAGACAGAAUUAUGUGAAGAGUCAUCAAUGGCGAGGAUCAAAUGCAGUGCAGAAACUUCCACAUCAGGGAAAGAGACAUGUCGCCAUGAAGUACACAGUGCUGUUGUUUCCAGUUUGCAUUCUUGCGAUGAAUGUAGUGGUCCUAUGUCAAGUAGAAAAUGAACACUUUAACUU